CUGUGGCACCAGGAGAGGGCAGCAGCGAGCCUCCCUUCCAGUGCUGCUGCUGCUGCGGUUUCAAGGCAGGCUGGGCCUUCGGGAGGCCGCCGCGUGGUUGCAAGCUGGGGAGGCCGGGAGCUGCCGGCAGUCCGGAGUCUCCGCCACGGUGCGGGGGCUUGGAAUUGGAAAGCAGCCGCGGCGCCUUUCAGGAAAGCAAGAGCCCCCGCUUUGCCUUCCUAGCCUCGUAGCCCGCCGGAUUUCCAGCUCCAUUCUUUGAAUCGUGUUCUGAUGCACCAGGUCAAGAAUGUUCAGCUUCUGUGUUUAAGAAAGGCGGGAACUUUAAUUGACAAGAGGUGUGGAAAACUAGGCAGACGUUGCCAGAAAUGGCAGCCAAGAUGGUGGUGUAUCCAUGGAGACAACCACACAGAGCUGGGCCUGGCAGCUUCGCUUCCAGGGCCACUGCCGGAUGGAGCCCUGGGAAGGCUGCAAAGCCAUGAGGAAGAAGAGCAGAGAGAGGGACAAGGGGACCACAAAGCUGAGUGCCACACUGCCCUCCAGGUACCCCCAGGGAACUACUGAAGCAAGAAGUUCUUGUUAUCCACAAAGGCUCUAUGAAGGCGCACGACAAAGAAAACUCCACAGGCAUCCCUGAAUUCCAGACCCCCAAUGUCCCUUGCCCUCCAUCUCUUUCAGCUGAAACAGACUGCUAAGGAACUCACUGCCAGUGCGACAGAGAGCUCUAAUUGCUGCAUCGGGUUAGGCUUAGGGUUUCCCAAAUCAGUGGCACAUGGCACCACAGAGGGAGGAGGAAUCAGACCCAGGAAGCUGAGGCAGGGCAAAGGGCUAUGAGGAGGGGGAGAAUGAAAGCCAUGGGGGAUGUGGGGGGAUUUCGGCUUCUUGGCUCCUGCAAUGUAACCUAGAUCUCACUGCCACACAUCAUAGUCAUGGAAGGCCAGAACCCUGGGUGAGUGAUAGCAAUAGCAAUAGCAAUAGCACUUACAUUUAUAUACCGCUCUAUAGCCGGAGCUCUCUAAGUGGUUUACAAUAAUUUAGCAUAUUGCCCCCAACAUUUCUGGGUACUCAUUUUACCGACCUCGGAAGGAUGGAAGGCUGAGUCAACCUUGAGCCCCUGGUCAGGAUUGAACUUGUAACCUUCUGGUUACAGGGCGGCAGUUUUACCACUGCGCCACCAGGGGCUCAUCCUGGUAGCUUUGUGGAAGAGCACAUUGUGGGGUGAUUUGGCAACUUUUGCAGAGCAUGAUGUGGGAGGAAGAGGCCCGUCCUGAGGCAUGAGUUAACUGGAGAAGGGGGUCCCACUGGGGAGGAUAACAGCUCAGGUUAUGGGGCGCAUAGACCAGAGCAAGCAUGACUUGUCCCCUUAGCUAAGUAGGGUCCACCCUGGUUGCAUACAAAAGGGAGACUAGAAGCAUGAGCACUGUAAGAGAUUCCCCUCAGGGGAUAAUGGGGCCGCUCUGGGAAGAGCAUCUACUGUAGGUUCCAAGUUCCCUCCCUGGAGGCACCUCCAUGAUCGAGGUGAGAGAGAUUCCUGCCUGCAACCUUGGAGAAGCUGCUGCCAGUCUAUGUAGACAAUACUGAGCUAGAUAGUCCAAUGGUCUGACUCAGCAUAUGGCAGCUCCCUAUGUCCCACGUUCAGUUCCCAGCAUCUCCAGUUGAAAAGGAGCCUGGGAAAUCUCUGCCUGAAGCCAUGGAGAGCUGCAGCCAGCCAGUCCCGGGCAAGAUGGGCCAGUGGUCACACUCUGUAUUAGGCGGUUUUGUGUGUUCAUGGGAAAUCCCCAUCCCCAUGCACUGCCGCCUGUUGCUUGGUAUUCUUGGGCACUGAGCCACCGUGACCCAGUUUAGCUUCUGAACUCAGAGAAGAUCCUAUCUGGAGCAAAGUGCCAAGCUUGCAAACCGGAUUCAGGUCUAGGAAACAUGACUGGAGACAUAAUACGAUAUGCUAUGCUUGAAAAUGCACCAGCUAUGUUGAAGAAUAAGCAGGAGUGGUGGUGGUGGUGAUGUUGUUAUGCCCAGAAACGGGCCUGGCUCAGUGGGAAUGCCUGUUAUCAGAUCUCUUGGAAUGCUACAUGGUCGGGUUCAGUCCUAGGCUGUAAAGGAAGGGGCGGGCGAUGUUUUGGAUGACUGAUCAUCCCACGAUCUAAGAGUUUCACAGACUAUGUCUAUGGUUAAUAUGUUACAUGUGCUUUCUAUGCCAAAUGUACAUUUUCCAAGCCUCCCUGCAAACCAAGCGAGAACUGAUCUUCUUUGCUGAAGGACAGGUGUUGGCUACCCAUCGCUUUCCAUGGUCCACCUUCAUACUCUGUGACGCAUCAAAAGUGGACCUCCCGACCCGUCAAAAGUCAUUUCAACAGCAGGAUUAAGGAGGCUGCUGUGCCAGACGGAAACCCCACUCUCCAGAGAAGUCCACAAAUUCCCGUGUGUUGGGCUUCUCCAGCAGAUGGCAGCAGUGUGCCACAUUCUGAAUGCCUCCGGCAGACGGUGGUGACCUGCUCUCAUCUUUGCCUGGGAAUGACAGAGGCAGGCCACCUCUUCUGCUCCACCAGCAAGCAGAGUUCUUCUUGGCUGUUUGUGAUCUGGUUGCCCUGUUCCACAAAUAGGAUACACAGCCUUCAGGUCUUCUCCUGCCCAGUAUGUUUCAGGUCAUUUGGCACACUUGGUAUAAUGUACAGCAGGUGAGCUGCUCACUAGUACUAAUAAUUAGGGAUGUGCACGGAACCGCCGGUCAUAUCCGGGCAACGGGAUGGCAGGAUGGUACGCUGCUGCCCCAAUUAGUUUGGGGGGGGAACGGAUGCCAGCGGGGGGAAAGCGGCGGGAGGGGUAAGUGCACCCUUCCCCGCGAUUAAAGCAGCACCCUCACCGCCUUCAAACCUCCCCUGCACGGUUCCAUGCACAUCCCUACUAAUAAUGGGAAUUAUAUCUAGUAGGGGUACCUGAAUGGCCCCUGCUCAGAAUGCCUCCCCCACUUCUGUACUGAGACGAGGAGCAAGAACUAGGAACAGGACCUUCUCGGGCAUGGCACCUUUCUCCUCUCUCUCUGUUAGGCUUCAUAACUUUUAGAAAGACUUUGAAAUCGUUAGUACUUUUUUGCAGCUUUUAAGAUGCUACAAUUGUAUUUUGGUUUCUGUUGCUGAUUGUUCAUUUGUGGAUGUUUUUAACGUUUUAGUGUAAUUUCCUAUUUGCUAGUUAUCUUGUGAAUCUUUCUGAAGGAGAGGAAUAUAAAUAUUUUCAAUAAAUAAA
Molecule: long non-coding RNA, 3237 nt
Organism: Hemicordylus capensis (graceful crag lizard)
Lineage: Eukaryota; Metazoa; Chordata; Lepidosauria; Squamata; Cordylidae
Exons: 3
Source: RefSeq, a predicted model, not a curated record